CCUACGGGAGGCAGCAGUGAGGAAUAUUGGUCAAUGGGCGCGAGCCUGAACCAGCCAAGUCGCGUGAGGGAAGACGGUCCUAUGGAUUGUAAACCUCUUUUGUCGGGGAGCAAAAGACGCCACGCGUGGCGUUCCGAGAGUACCCGAAGAAAAAGCAUCGGCUAACUCCGUGCCAGCAGCCGCGGUAAUACGGAGGAUGCGAGCGUUAUCCGGAUUUAUUGGGUUUAAAGGGAGCGUAGGCCGCAUGGCAAGCGUGCUGUGAAAUGUGCGGGCUCAACCCGGGCCUUGCAGGGCGAACUGGCGGUCGUGAGUGCGCGGAAAGCAGGCGGAAUUCGUGGUGUAGCGGUGAAAUGCUUAGAUAUGACGAAGAACUCCGAUUGCGAAGGCAGCUUGCUGCAGCGGAACUGACGCUGAUGCUCGAAAGCGCGGGUAUCGAACAGGAUUAGAUACCCCGGUAGUC
RNAcentral lists this ribosomal RNA (460 nucleotides) under uncultured bacterium. RNAcentral describes it as "partial 16S ribosomal RNA". It matches the Rfam family "Bacterial small subunit ribosomal RNA", at positions 338 to 795 of the family's 1533-position model. The record is from RNAcentral.